CGAGAACAUGCCAACAGGCAAAUAAGCCUUUCUUAAAAUCUAUCUCCAUCCCUGCAUGAUGUAUAUAGACCACACCUCACGUAACCUAGAACAAACCGCUCUAAUCCCUAAUCAAUAUCACAGACUUCGCUUGCGUUCUACUGUGUGAUUGAAUUCCGUUAAAUAAAAAGGUCUUAUGCCAGCAUUGUCAAAAGGCUCUGCGCCUCCAAACGUUACGAUAUUGAUGUGUUUAAAUUGGUUUUGUGCAACUUGUGCG
Molecule: non-coding RNA, 256 nt
Organism: Pelobates cultripes (western spadefoot toad)
Lineage: Eukaryota; Metazoa; Chordata; Amphibia; Anura; Pelobatidae
Source: the annotation of a GenBank genome assembly